Molecule: ribosomal RNA, 415 nt
Filed under: uncultured bacterium
Lineage: Bacteria
Description: bacterial SSU rRNA
Rfam family: Bacterial small subunit ribosomal RNA
Source: RNAcentral
UAUUGCACAAUGGGGGAAACCCUGAUGCAGCGACGCCGCGUGAGUGAAGAAGCGUUUCGGCGCGUAAAGCUCUGUCAGCGGGGAAGAAAAACGGUUCGCGAGAGCCGCGGACGGUACCCGACCAAGAAGCCCCGGCUAACUACGGGCCAGCAGCCGCGGUAAUACGUAGGGGGCAAGCGUUAUCCGGAUUCACUGGGUGUAAAGGGAGCGUAGACGGUGAUGCAAGUCAGAAGUGAAAGCCCGGGGCUCAACUCCGGGACUGCUUUUGAAACUGUGUGACUGGAGUGCAGGAGAGGUAAGCGGAAUUCCUGGUGUAGCGGUGAAAUGCGUAGAUAUCAGGAGGAACACCAGUGGCGAAGGCGGCUUGCUGGACUGUAACUGACGUUGAGGCUCGAAAGCGUGGGGAGCAAACAGG